This 279-nucleotide ribosomal RNA is filed under the name uncultured bacterium. RNAcentral's name for it is "partial 16S ribosomal RNA". It matches the Rfam family "Bacterial small subunit ribosomal RNA", at positions 506 to 784 of the family's 1533-position model. The record is from RNAcentral.
UGCCAGCAGCCGCGGUAAGACGGAGGGGGCUAGCGUUGUUCAGAAUUACUGGGCGUAAAGCGCGCGUAGGCGGCCUGUCGAGUCGGGCGUGAAAGCCCGGGGCUUAACCUGGGAAUUGCUUCUAAAACUGCUGAGCUAGAGUACGGUAGAGGGUGGUGGAAUUUCCUGUGUAGCGGUGAAAUGCGUAGAUAUAGGAAGGAACAUCAGUGGCGAAGGCGACCACCUGGACUGAUACUGACACUGAGGUGCGAAAGCGUGGGGAGCAAACAGGAUUAGAUA